Molecule: unclassified non-coding RNA, 233 nt
Filed under: Hevea brasiliensis (rubber tree)
Lineage: Eukaryota; Viridiplantae; Streptophyta; Magnoliopsida; Malpighiales; Euphorbiaceae
Source: RNAcentral
UUCCUAUCUUGCAAGAAUAUUUUGCGUUCCAAUGCCAGACGUGUAUGAAUCUCCUGUUGUUUCUGAAGUCCUUCUAACUUCUUUUCUUGCGCCUCUCUGACUUCUGGAGGAAGUUCCUUGCGGAGCAUACGCUCGAUAGAGCGAAUCUGGUUCUUAAGAGACACAGACUUGGGCUUUGACUUCUUCUCUACGCCUAUUCCCUUGGAUCGCCGCCCCACGUGAGGCUUCCGUUC